CGUCUUCGCCGUCGCACCUCCCAUCACUGCCGCCACUGAGGAGCUCGAAGAGAGAGAAAGGGUUUGCGCAGAGAGAGAAACACGAUGAGGGAGGAGGAGGUUGCCUCUGUUGCUGCCAAGCCGUCGCUGACGGGGUUGGGUUCGCCGUCGCCGUUGAGCUGUGUGCCGCUGUUGGCGUCUGGAUCGCCACUCUGUUUCUGCUGUAACUUGCCACUGUCCUGACAUACACUUACCUUGAAGCAGCUUGGUCUGAUCAUUGGCAAAGGUCAGUUAUUCAUUAUUAUUAGUAGCUUGACAUUGUGGUUUAGUUCUUUUACU
This is a non-coding RNA of Arachis ipaensis, 318 nucleotides long. The record is from RefSeq and is a predicted model, not a curated record. NCBI's taxonomy places the organism in Eukaryota, Viridiplantae, Streptophyta, Magnoliopsida, Fabales, Fabaceae.